Molecule: long non-coding RNA, 274 nt
Organism: Nerophis ophidion (straightnose pipefish)
Lineage: Eukaryota; Metazoa; Chordata; Actinopteri; Syngnathiformes; Syngnathidae
Exons: 3
Source: RefSeq, a predicted model, not a curated record
CUCCGAAGCAGCUGGAGGAAGCCAGCAGGACCGGAGAAGGAAAAGGAAAAAGAAUAAAAGAAGUGGACUUAGUCACCGGAACAUUCACCGUGGGAAAGAAAGACAACAACACCGACCUUCAAAAUCAGAAAUAAUUCCCUCCAAGUGUGGAUUAACUCCAGAAUCCGACAUCUUUCUCCGGCUGGUUGGAUCUCCAAACUGAAGAAGUGUACCAAGCUCAGCAAGAUCUUUAACCUUCUGUGGACCAGCCACAAAGUUGUGUAUAAAAUGAAGU